UAUAAGAGACAGCAGUCGCCACGGUAAAACCAGCAGCCCAAGUGGUGGUCGCGCUUAUUGGGCCUAAAGCGCUCGUAGCCUGGCCGGUAAGUUCCCCGUGAAAUCGGGUCGCCCAACGAUUCGGCUUGCGGGGAAUACUGUCGGUCUUGGGGCCGGGAGACGCCGAGGGUACUCCGGGGGUAGCGGUGAAAUGCUGUAAUCCUCGGGGGACUACCAGUGGCGAAGGCGCUCGGCGAUAACGGGCCUGACGGUGAGGGGCGAAAGCUGGGGGCGCGAACGGGAUUAGAUACCCCAGUAGUCCCUGUCUCUUAUU
This 313-nucleotide ribosomal RNA is filed under the name uncultured bacterium. RNAcentral describes it as "partial 16S ribosomal RNA". It matches the Rfam family "Archaeal small subunit ribosomal RNA", at positions 445 to 759 of the family's 1478-position model. The record is from RNAcentral.